RNAcentral lists this ribosomal RNA (350 nucleotides) under uncultured soil bacterium. RNAcentral's name for it is "bacterial SSU rRNA". It matches the Rfam family "Bacterial small subunit ribosomal RNA", at positions 30 to 380 of the family's 1533-position model. The record is from RNAcentral.
AGACUUGAACGCUGGCGGCAUGCCUUACACAUGCAAGUCGAACGGUAGAGUAGCAAUACUCGAGAGUGGCGAACGGGUGAGUAAUAUAUCGGAACGUGCCCAGUCGUGGGGGAUAACGUAGAGAAAUUUACGCUAAUACCGCAUACGAUCUAAGGAUGAAAGCGGGGAUCGCAAGACCUCGCGCGAUUGGAGCGGCUGAUAUCAGAUUAGGUUGUUGGUGAGGUAAAAGCUCACCAAGCCGACGAUCUGUAGCUGGUUUGAGAGAACGACCAGCCACACUGGGACUGAGACACGGCCAGACUCCGUACGGGAGGCAGCAGGUGGGUAAGUUUUGGACAAGUGGGACGAAA